CCUUCGCUGGCCGCGUGCCUAAUUCUUGCAAGUCGAGCCGGACAGAUGGGAGCUUGCUCCCUGAUGUUAGCGGCGGACGGGUGAGUAACACGUGGGUAACCUGCCUGUAAGACUGGGAUAACUCCGGGAAACCGGGGCUAAUACCGGAUGGUUGUUUGAACCGCAUGGUUCAGACAUAAAAGGUGGCUUCGGCUACCACUUACAGAUGGACCCGCGGCGCAUUAGCUAGUUGGUGAGGUAACGGCUCACCAAGGCGACGAUGCGUAGCCGACCUGAGAGGGUGAUCGGCCACACUGGGACUGAGACACGGCCCAGACUCCUACGGGAGGCAGCAGUAGGGAAUCUUCCGCAAUGGACGAAAGUCUGACGGAGCAACGCCGCGUGAGUGAUGAAGGUUUUCGGAUCGUAAAGCUCUGUUGUUAGGGAAAAACAAGUGCCGUUCAAAUAGGGCGGCACCUUGACGGUACCUAACCAGAAAGCCACGGCUAACUACGUGCCAGCAGCCGCGGUAAUACGUAGGUGGCAAGCGUUGUCCGGAAUUAUUGGGCGUAAAGGGCUCG
This 560-nucleotide ribosomal RNA is filed under the name Bacillus sp. Ni22. RNAcentral describes it as "bacterial SSU rRNA". It matches the Rfam family "Bacterial small subunit ribosomal RNA", at positions 30 to 571 of the family's 1533-position model. Lineage: Bacteria; Bacillati; Bacillota; Bacilli; Caryophanales; Bacillaceae. The record is from RNAcentral.